GGUAAAUCCGCGAAUGGCUCAUUACAACAGCCAUAGUUUAUUGGAUCUAAUAUCCUACUUGGAUAACUGUGGUAAUUCUAGAGCUAAUACACGCACUCAAGCCCCGACUUCGGAAAGGGCGCAUUUAUUAGAACAAGACCAAUUGGCUUCGGCCAUCUAUUGGUGAAUCUGAAUAACUACGCAGAUCGCACAGGCUUGUCCUGGCGACAUAUCCUUCAAGUGUCUGCCUUAUCAACUGUCGAUGGUAGUUUAUUGGACUACCAUGGUUGUAACGGGUAACGGAGAAUUAGGGUUCGACUCCGGAGAGGGAGCCUGAGAUACGGCUACCACAUCCAAGGAAGGCAGCAGGCGCGCAAAUUACCCAAUCCCGGCACGGGGAGGUAGUGACGAAAAAUAACGAGACAGUCUUCUAUGAGGUCUGUCAUCGGAAUGGGUACAAUCUAAACCCUUUAACGAGGAUCUAUUGGAGGGCAAGUCUGGU
This 481-nucleotide ribosomal RNA is filed under the name Chromadoridae environmental sample. RNAcentral describes it as "SSU rRNA". It matches the Rfam family "Eukaryotic small subunit ribosomal RNA", at positions 80 to 565 of the family's 1831-position model. The record is from RNAcentral. Lineage: Eukaryota; Metazoa; Nematoda; Chromadorea; Chromadorida; Chromadoridae.